UGCGGUUAUACAAAAAUUAAAUUAAAUUUUUUUAGAUUUUAAUAAAUAGAUAGAUUAAAUUAUAAUAAAUUAAAUUUUAAAUUAUAUAGUGAAAUUUUAAUUUAAUUAAAAUUUAUUUUAUAUUAUGAUAUUAAUAAAUUUUAUAAAAAACUAGGAUUAGAUACCCUAUUAUAAAAAUUUAAAUUUAAAAAUCUUAAAUAGUAUAUAAUUUUUUAUAGAAACUUAAUUAAAUUGGCGGUAUUUUAGUUCAUUUAGAGGAAUCUGUCUAAUAAUUGAUAAUCCACGAUUAAAUUUACUUAAUUUAUAAUUUUGUAUAUCGUUGUUAAAAAAAUAUUUUUAAAUAAAAAUAAUAUUUUAAUAUUUAUAUAUAUAAAAAUUAAAUCAGAUCAAGAUGCAGAUAAUAAUUAAGAAUAUGAUGGAUUACAAUAAAAUUUAUUUAUUUGGAAAUUAAUUUGUAAUUUUAAUUGAAAAUGGAUUUAAAUGUAAUUUUAUUUAUUAUAAUAAAAUGAUUUAAAAUUAAAAUAUGUACAUAUUGCCCGUCGCUUUCAUUUAUAAAUUGAAAUAAGUCGUAACAAAGUAGAGGUACUGGAAAGUGUUUCUAGAAAGAU
This 608-nucleotide ribosomal RNA is filed under the name Orna nebulosa. RNAcentral describes it as "partial 12S ribosomal RNA". Lineage: Eukaryota; Metazoa; Arthropoda; Insecta; Lepidoptera; Zygaenidae. The record is from RNAcentral.